This 29-nucleotide non-coding RNA is filed under the name Bombyx mori (domestic silkworm). The record is from RNAcentral. Lineage: Eukaryota; Metazoa; Arthropoda; Insecta; Lepidoptera; Bombycidae.
CGCGAACCAUAUCUCCGGCUCCUCGGGCC